RNAcentral lists this ribosomal RNA (253 nucleotides) under uncultured bacterium. Its description in RNAcentral is "partial 16S ribosomal RNA". It matches the Rfam family "Bacterial small subunit ribosomal RNA", at positions 524 to 776 of the family's 1533-position model. The record is from RNAcentral.
GACGGAGGAUGCAAGCGUUAUCCGGAAUUAUUGGGCGUAAAGCGUCCGUAGGCGGUUUCAAAAGUCUGUUGUUAAAGCCCACAGCUCAACUGUGGAUCGGCAAUGGAAACUGUGAGACUAGAGAGUGGUAGGGGUAGAGGGAAUUCCUAGUGUAGCGGUGAAAUGCAUAGAUAUGUCUCAGAACACCGAUUGCGAAGGCAGCUUACUAUGGUUCUAUUGACGCUGAGGCACGAAAGCGUGGGGAUCGAACAGG